Molecule: ribosomal RNA, 311 nt
Filed under: Bacillus sp. TR2.2
Lineage: Bacteria; Bacillati; Bacillota; Bacilli; Caryophanales; Bacillaceae
Description: bacterial SSU rRNA
Rfam family: Bacterial small subunit ribosomal RNA
Source: RNAcentral
GAUUAGAGCUUGCUCUUAUGAAGUUAGCGGCGGACGGGUGAGUAACACGUGGGUAACCUGCCCAUAAGACUGGGAUAACUCCGGGAAACCGGGGCUAAUACCGGAUAACAUUUUGAACCGCAUGGUUCGAAAUUGAAAGGCGGCUUCGGCUGUCACUUAUGGAUGGACCCGCGUCGCAUUAGCUAGUUGGUGAGGUAACGGCUCACCAAGGCAACGAUGCGUAGCCGACCUGAGAGGGUGAUCGGCCACACUGGGACUGAGACACGGCCCAGACUCCUACGGGAGGCAGCAGUGGUCUGCUUUUUUUUUCC